CGAGUGGGGAAUAACUUCGGGAAACCGAGGCUAAUACCGCAUAAUACCCACGGGUCAAAGGAGCAAUUCGCUUGAGGAGGAGGUCGCGGCCGAUUAGUUAGUUGGCGGGGUAAUGGCCCCACCAAGACGGUGAUCGGUAUCCGGCCUGAGAGGGCGCACGGACACACUGGAACUGAAACACGGUCCAGACUCCUACGGGAGGCAGCAGUGGGGAAUUUUGCGCAAUGGGGGAAACCCUGACGCAGCAACGCCGCGUGGAGGAUGAAGUCUCUUGGGACGUAAACUCCUUUCGAUCGGGACGAUUAUGACGGUACCGGAAGAAGAAGCCCCGGCUAACUUCGUG
Molecule: ribosomal RNA, 343 nt
Filed under: uncultured bacterium
Lineage: Bacteria
Description: bacterial SSU rRNA
Rfam family: Bacterial small subunit ribosomal RNA
Source: RNAcentral